Molecule: unclassified non-coding RNA, 1522 nt
Filed under: Melitaea cinxia (Glanville fritillary)
Lineage: Eukaryota; Metazoa; Arthropoda; Insecta; Lepidoptera; Nymphalidae
Description: misc RNA ENSMCXG00005008661.1
Source: RNAcentral
CUGUGAAGUUAGCUGUUUAUGUCAUGUGCUUAUGAGUACAAGUAAAUGAAGUUAGUUGAAUAAUGUAUUUUGUAAACAAUGUUUACAAAUUUUCUUUGCGGCAUUUGUGAGAAAAUAAUCGUGCUCCGUAAUUUUUUAAUUUUUGACCAAAAGAAACAUUAAAAAAUGGUGAAACAUUGUAUUGUGCGUGGAUGUAAAAGAGAUUUAGCAUCUGAUCGCUAAAAUAGAAUGAAUUACUGAAAAACAAUUUGCGUCAAUCAUCUUUAUUCAAAGUACCAAACUACCAAAGAUUAACGUAUUGAGGGAAAAUGGGUAAAAGCUUUAUCACAACAAUUGACUCCAAAUCAGUUUGUGUGUGAGAAGCACUUUCGCGAAGAAGAUAUUAAGAAAAUUGAUCGAUUGAUUAUUAAUGGAGCUGAAAUUAUCAUCCCUCGCAAAAGGUGGACUCUUUUGAAUGACAAUGUCAUUCCAAUAAACCCUCAGGAUUUGGAAAAGGACAUUUCUGAAGAGCAAGUUACAACAGUGCAAAAUGACAUUAAUACCCUUGUUAAAAAUCGUUCAAGGUAACAAUUUAAAAGAAGAUUCUCAACCAGCAGGACCCCAUCAUAUGGAAUCACCAGAGAUUGUAACAGCUAAUAAUGUCAUUAUCUCGAACAUGUCUCCACCAUCAUGUGUUACACUAGAAGAGAUCCAUGCUCAUUUUCACUCAAUACUGAUCCAAGGAUGGUGUUAUUUUGCUUGUGAUGAAGAGUUGAUAUUAUAUAAGAUAUGAAUUUUACUAUUUCCAAUAAUCUUUCAGUGAAGGUAAAUAAUUUUCUCAUGCUUUUUUAAAUAAUUUUAUCUAUUCAUAAUGCAUACAGAGCAUUUUAUAAAAUUUAUUAAGUUUUGCUCACAUAAUCAUUUCUGAUACAACAGGUUUCUUUCUCUCAACAACCAGAAAUUGUUAUUGAUACUACAUCAUCUAUAGAAGAUAUAAAAAUGUAUAUGGAAACUCUGCAAGCCACUAUUUUAUGUAAAGGAACUGACAUACACUAUAGGUACCAUAUAUUUUCUUUCAUUUCUUUUAAUAUAAAUAAAAAUCUCAUACUAUUAUACAUUAGGUGAAAAUUGAAAAUAAACUUAAAGAUUCACCUAAAUCGAGGCUCCAUCUAGAACUGUGACACCUGAAGUAAAAACAAGCAUCAAGUACAUCUUUUAGUAGUAGUGUGAAAAGAAAGAAAGUAUCUACAUUACCUUUGAAAAAUUCCAAAUCAUCUUGUAAGUCAAUAGAUAUGUUUUUUAGGUAGCAGAUUUUUUUUGUAAUUAUCUAACUGUAUGCAAAUGAACUUGUAAAUAAUGUAAAUACAUUUAUAAAGCAAUUUUAUGAAAUAAAAAAAAAUAUGAUAUUUUAAUUGUUUUUUAUUUAUUUUACUACUAUGUCGUUAAAUAUAGCAAAUUUUGAUCUUUCAUUUCUACUAUCACUCAAUAUUGAUACUAAUUCACCACUUCGCCAGUAAACCUGUAUAGUAGUCACAAUGCAAAG